RNAcentral lists this ribosomal RNA (253 nucleotides) under uncultured Lactobacillus sp. Its description in RNAcentral is "partial 16S ribosomal RNA". It matches the Rfam family "Bacterial small subunit ribosomal RNA", at positions 524 to 776 of the family's 1533-position model. Lineage: Bacteria; Bacillati; Bacillota; Bacilli; Lactobacillales; Lactobacillaceae. The record is from RNAcentral.
UACGUAUGGUGCAAGCGUUAUCCGGAUUUACUGGGUGUAAAGGGAGCGCAGGCGGCACGGCAAGCCUGAUGUGAAAGCCUUCGGCUUAACCGAAGAAGUGCAUCGGAAACCGGGCAACUUGAGUGCAGAAGAGGACAGUGGAACUCCAUGUGUAGCGGUGGAAUGCGUAGAUAUAUGGAAGAACACCAGUGGCGAAGGCGGCUGUCUGGUCUGCAACUGACGCUGAGGCUCGAAAGCAUGGGUAGCGAACAGG